RNAcentral lists this transfer RNA (73 nucleotides) under Octopus bimaculoides (California two-spot octopus). Its description in RNAcentral is "transfer RNA lysine (anticodon UUU)". It matches the Rfam family "tRNA". Rfam says of the family: Transfer RNA (tRNA) molecules are approximately 80 nucleotides in length. Their secondary structure includes four short double-helical elements and three loops (D, anti-codon, and T loops). The record is from RNAcentral. Lineage: Eukaryota; Metazoa; Mollusca; Cephalopoda; Octopoda; Octopodidae.
GCCCGCAUAGCUCAGUCGGUAGAGCAUCAGACUUUUAAGCUGAGGGUCGUGGGUUCAUGUCCCCCUGUGGGCG